GAAGGGAAACCGAGUCUUAACUGGGCGUUAAGUUGCAGGGUAUAGACCCGAAACCCGGUGAUCUAGCCAUGGGCAGGUUGAAGGUUGGGUAACACUAACUGGAGGACCGAACCGACUAAUGUUGAAAAAUUAGCGGAUGACUUGUGGCUGGGGGUGAAAGGCCAAUCAAACCGGGAGAUAGCUGGUUCUCCCCGAAAGCUAUUUAGGUAGCGCCUCGUGAAUUCAUCUCCGGGGGUAGAGCACUGUUUCGGCAAGGGGGUCAUCCCGACUUACCAACCCGAUGCAAACUGCGAAUACCGGAGAAUGUUAUCACGGGAGACACACGGCGGGUGCUAACGUCCGUCGUGAAGAGGGAAACAACCCAGACCGCCAGCUAAGGUCCCAAAGUCAUGGUUAAGUGGGAAACGAUGUGGGAAGGCCCAGACAGCCAGGAUGUUGGCUUAGAAGCAGCCAUCAUUUAAAGAAAGCGUAAUAGCUCACUGGUCGAGUCGGCCUGCGCGGAAGAUGUAACGGGGCUAAACCAUGCAC
This 528-nucleotide ribosomal RNA is filed under the name Escherichia coli. Its description in RNAcentral is "partial 23S ribosomal RNA". It matches the Rfam family "Bacterial large subunit ribosomal RNA", at positions 668 to 1194 of the family's 2925-position model. Lineage: Bacteria; Pseudomonadati; Pseudomonadota; Gammaproteobacteria; Enterobacterales; Enterobacteriaceae. The record is from RNAcentral.